Long non-coding RNA from Hyaena hyaena (striped hyena), 676 nucleotides. RefSeq lists it as uncharacterized. The transcript is spliced from 3 exons. The record is from RefSeq and is a predicted model, not a curated record. NCBI's taxonomy places the organism in Eukaryota, Metazoa, Chordata, Mammalia, Carnivora, Hyaenidae.
GGCGGGCGGGUCUAGGCGCCCAGCGACGCAGGGCGCAGGCGCUAGAACUGUCCCUCCGCGCUCCUGCGGGGAAGGAGGGGCAAAACUGGCUUCUCCAAGCGCCGGCGCGGGAGGCCGGGGUGGGCCGCGCCCCUCCGGGAACGAGACGCGAGGGGCGUGGCCCAGCACCAAGCCCCGCCCACCACUGCGGUCGAAGCGGGAGGGGGCCCUGCAGCUGGAGAAUGUCUUUCCCAUAAAUUCCUGAGUGGAUGUCUUUUGUCUGAUGCGUUCCUGCCUGUGACGCCAAUGAAAAGUGAAAACCGGAAUGUGGAUAAAAGCCCAUCUGCAAGGUGCUUUAUGAAUUUUUCUGGAUGUGUCGUAAUAUCACCAUGAGGCAGAGAUGGCACGGUCUCCCAUUUGGCGCUUGACAAGAAAAUGGAUGAUGCUGGUCCUUAGUGCUGACAGCGAUUGCUAGGCUCUGAAGUCCCUGAUUGGAAAGGAAGCCUGUUUUCAUGGUAACUGCAAGUAGAGAGAAGAAGCUAAAAAUCGAGACACUGAUAUAUUAGUGGUCCUUUCAUACUCUUAAGAUUUCUUACAUAAGAGGCUGUGUGUGAGAUCCAAUUCCUGAAACUGCUUUUCCUACCGGCUCCCUCUCGCUGUACCAGUAAACUUCCCAGAGACUGACUCUUCCGUGAGA